GUGUCAGCCGCCGCGGUAAGACGAAGGGGGCUAGCGUUGUUCGGAAUUACUGGGCGUAAAGCGCGUGUAGGCGGUUGCCAUAGUCAGGUGUGAAAGCCUUGAGCUCAACUCAAGAAAUGCACUUGAUACUGGGCGACUAGAGGACCGGAGAGGAUAGUGGAAUUCCCAGUGUAGUGGUGAAAUACGUAGAGAUUGGGAAGAACACCAGUGGCGAAGGCGGCUAUCUGGACGGUUUCUGACGCUAAGACGCGAAAGCGUGGGGAGCAAACAGGAUUAGAUACCCGCGUAGUCC
Molecule: ribosomal RNA, 292 nt
Filed under: uncultured bacterium
Lineage: Bacteria
Description: partial 16S ribosomal RNA
Rfam family: Bacterial small subunit ribosomal RNA
Source: RNAcentral